Molecule: ribosomal RNA, 494 nt
Filed under: uncultured bacterium
Lineage: Bacteria
Description: partial 16S ribosomal RNA
Rfam family: Bacterial small subunit ribosomal RNA
Source: RNAcentral
GACGAACGCUGGCGGCGCGCUUAACACAUGCAAGUCGAACGGAAAGGCCUGCUUUCCCUUGUGGAUUGCGGGUACUCGAGUGGCGAACGGGUGAGUAACACGUGAGUGAUCUGCCCCCAACUUGGGUAUAAGCCUGGGAAACUGGGUCUAAUUCCCGAUAGGACUGCAGGGUGGUGCCUGUGGUGGAAAACGAUUUUCUAGUGGUUGGGGAUGAGCUCGCGGCGUAUCAGCUUGUUGGUGGGGUAAUGGCCUACCAAGGCGGGGACGGGUAGCCGGCCUGGGAGGGUGGACGGCCACAUUGGGACUGAGAUACGGCCCAGACUCCUACGGGAGGCAGCAGUGGGGAAUAUUGCACAAUGGGCGGAAGCCUGAUGCAGCGACGCCGCGUGGGGGAUGACGGCCUUCGGGUUGUAAACUCCUUUCGACCGCGAGGAAGCCACCUGGUUGGAAGGGUGGUGACGGUAGUGGUAGAAGAAGCACCGGCUAACUACGUG